GGGCCCGCACAAGCGGUGGAGCAUGUGGUUUAAUUCGAUGAUACGCGAGGAACCUUACCAGGGCUUAAAUGUAGUAUGACCGGCUUGGAAACAGGCCUUCUCUUCGGAGCAGAUUACAAGGUGCUGCAUGGUUGUCGUCAGCUCGUGCCGUGAGGUGUUAGGUUAAGUCCUGCAACGAGCGCAACCCCUAUUCUUAGUUGCCAGCGGUUCGGCCGGGGACUCUAAGAAGACUGCCAGCGCAAGCUGAGAGGAAGGUGGGGAUGACGUCAAAUCAUCACGGCCCUUACGUCCUGGGCUACACACGUGCUACAAUGGCUAGGACAGACGGCCGCAAACCCGCGAGGGGAGCCAA
RNAcentral lists this ribosomal RNA (352 nucleotides) under uncultured bacterium. Its description in RNAcentral is "bacterial SSU rRNA". It matches the Rfam family "Bacterial small subunit ribosomal RNA", at positions 917 to 1271 of the family's 1533-position model. The record is from RNAcentral.